CAGCCAGUGGCUGGGAUUUCCAAUAUAGGCGUCUACAGUACUAUAACAGGACGUAGUUUAAAAGACUGUAUCAACAACGGCUUUUGUGAAUGGAUCAGUCCAGUCUUACAUCUGUUUUGAUUCUGCAACAGCCACCCUUCAAAGGCAUAUGAGCCAGGAGAGGAUGACAAGAACACUCCAGGAAAUCUUCAGCAAUCCCAGUUGUUCUAUACCCUAACUAUGACCUCGACAUCUGGCACAAUGCCUGCUCCCAACUGGAACUGCACGUCUUACCCACUCCUCCCAGGUAGGAUGGCUGAGGAUGCUGACCCUGAGAGGCUCAUAAAGAGAAAAUGAGAAAUCGGCCCUUCUCGGUGGUUGUUCCACAGCUAUGGAAUCAGUUACCACCUGCGAUUUGUUUAGCUCCUCUGCGGGGGAUAGGGUGGGAGAAACCUCAAGAAACAGCUUAAGACUUGGCUAUUUCGGCAAAUUUUUCAAACUCUGUCAACUAUGGAGACUACUUAAACGGCAGUUAACAGCCUAUGACACUUGAUCACCGUGAAUCUGUUAUCAUAGAAUGUAUUUUAAACUGUUUGAUUACUGUUAUGUUUUCCUUCUCAUAGCCGAGUUAUUGUUAUAUUUUAACGUUUUGUUGGUUUCUUGCUGUGAACCGCCCAGAGUAGCCCUCGGCCAGAUGGGCGGUGUAUAAAUUGAAUAAAUAAAUAAAUAAACUAUCUGAAUGGAACAAGGAAUUCUUCAACCGGCUUCCUCCUAUGUUCAUGGGCAUCUGUUGACUCAGCCUUCUAUCCUUCCGAGGUCAGUAAAAUGAAUACCCAGCUUGCG
Molecule: non-coding RNA, 822 nt
Organism: Pogona vitticeps (central bearded dragon)
Lineage: Eukaryota; Metazoa; Chordata; Lepidosauria; Squamata; Agamidae
Source: RefSeq, a predicted model, not a curated record